Molecule: ribosomal RNA, 460 nt
Filed under: uncultured bacterium
Lineage: Bacteria
Description: partial 16S ribosomal RNA
Rfam family: Bacterial small subunit ribosomal RNA
Source: RNAcentral
CCUACGGGUGGCAGCAGUGAGGAAUAUUGGUCAAUGGACGAGAGUCUGAACCAGCCAAGUAGCGUGAAGGAUGACUGCCCUAUGGGUUGUAAACUUCUUUUAUAUGGGAAUAAAAUGUUCCACGUGUGGGAUUUUGUAUGUACCAUAUGAAUAAGGAUCGGCUAACUCCGUGCCAGCAGCCGCGGUAAUACGGAGGAUCCGAGCGUUAUCCGGAUUUAUUGGGUUUAAAGGGAGCGUAGGUGGAUUGUUAAGUCAGUUGUGAAAGUUUGCGGCUCAACCGUAAAAUUGCAGUUGAAACUGGCAGUCUUGAGGACAGUAGAGGUGGGCGGAAUUCGAGGUGUAGCGGUGAAAUGCUUAGAUAUCACGAAGAACUCCGAUUGCGAAGGCAGUUCACUGGACUGCAACUGACACUGAGGCUCGAAAGUGUGGGUAUCAAACAGGAUUAGAUACCCCAGUAGUC